AGCGAACGCUGGCGGCAUGCUUAACACAUGCGAGUCGCACGGGCAGCCAUGUCAGUGGCGGACGGGUGAGUAACGCGUAGGAACGUGUCCUGAGGUGGGGGACAACCCCGGGAAACUGGGGCUAAUACCGCAUAUGGGCUGAGGCCCAAAGCCGAGAGGCGCCUUUGGAGCGGCCUGCGUCCGAUUAGGUAGUUGGUGGGGUAAAGGCCUACCAAGCCUGCGAUCGGUAGCUGGUCUGAGAGGACGACCAGCCACACUGGGACUGAGACACGGCCCAGACUCCUACGGGAGGCAGCAGUGGGGAAUAUUGGACAAUGGGCGAAAGCCUGAUCCAGCAAUGCCGCGUGGGUGAAGAAGGUCUUCGGAUCGUAAAGCCCUUUCGACGGGGACGAUGAUGACGGUACCCGUAGAAGAAGCCCCGGCUAACUUCGUG
RNAcentral lists this ribosomal RNA (433 nucleotides) under uncultured bacterium. RNAcentral's name for it is "partial 16S ribosomal RNA". It matches the Rfam family "Bacterial small subunit ribosomal RNA", at positions 30 to 507 of the family's 1533-position model. The record is from RNAcentral.